Molecule: ribosomal RNA, 398 nt
Filed under: uncultured bacterium
Lineage: Bacteria
Description: bacterial SSU rRNA
Rfam family: Bacterial small subunit ribosomal RNA
Source: RNAcentral
AACGAACGCUGGCGGCGCGCCUAAUACAUGCAAGUCGAGCGAGAAGACGUAGCAAUACGUUUGUAAAGCGGCGAACGGGUGAGGAAUACAUGGGUAACCUACCCUCGAGUGGGGAAUAACUAGCCGAAAGGUUAGCUAAUACCGCGUACGCUCCUUGGACUUCGGUUCAGGGAGGAAAGCGAUACCGUGGGUAUCGCGCUCUUGGAUGGGCUCAUGUCCUAUCAGCUUGUUGGUGAGGUAACGGCUCACCAAGGCUUCGACGGGUAGCUGGUCUGAGAGGACGAUCAGCCACACUGGCACUGCGACACGGGCCAGACUCCUACGGGAGGCAGCAGUAAGGAAUAUUGCGCAAUGGGCGAAAGCCUGACGCAGCGACGCCGCGUGGGGGAUGAAGGCCU